CUCCCGGUGAUCCUGCCGGACCCGACUGCUAUCGGAUUGAGAUUUAGCCAUGCGAGUCGAACGUCCCCCUGUUGCGGGGGGCGUGGCGUACGGCUCAGUAACACGUAGUCAACCUGCCCUGGAGACAAGGACAACCCCGGGAAACUGGGAUUAAUCCUUGAUAGGUCAUCUCAUCUGGAAGGAGAGAUGGCUUAAAGGGGUACGCGGGCUUCUUCCGCGAAUCUGCUCCAGGAUGGGACUGCGUCCGAUCAGGCUGUUGGCGGGGUAAUGGCCCACCAAACCUGUAACCGGUACGGGCCUUGAGAGAGGUGGCCCGGAGAUGGACACUGAGAGAAGGGUCCAGGUCCUACGGGGCGCAGCAGGCGCGAAACCUUCGCAAUGCGCGAAAGCGUGACGAGGUUAAUCCGAGUGACUCCCGCUGAGGGGGUCUUUUGUCAGCUGUAAAUAGGCAGGCGAAUAAGGGGAGGGCAAGCCUGGUGUCAGCCGCCGCGGUAAUACCAGCUCCUCGAGUGGUCGGGGCGAUUAUUGGGCCUAAAGCAUCCGUAGCCGGUUCCGUAGGUCCUCUGUUAAAUCCAACCGCUUAACGGUUGACCUGCAGAGGAUACCGCGGGACUAGGAGGCGGGAGAGGCGGACGGUACUCCGCGUGUAGGGGUAAAAUCCUUUGAUCCGCGGAAGACCACCAGUGGCGAAGGCGGUCCGCCAGAACGCGCUCGACGGUGAGGGAUGAAAGCUGGGGGAGCGAACCGGAUUAGAUACCCGGGUAGUCCCAGCCGUAAACGAUGCUAGCUAGAUGAUUCAUUCGCAAGUCGCGAAUGAAGUGUCGCAGGGAAGCCGUUAGGCUAGCCGCCUGGGGAGUACGGUCGCAAGACUGAAACUUAAAGGAAUUGGCGGGGGAGCA
RNAcentral lists this ribosomal RNA (899 nucleotides) under uncultured archaeon. RNAcentral describes it as "bacterial SSU rRNA". It matches the Rfam family "Archaeal small subunit ribosomal RNA", at positions 1 to 878 of the family's 1478-position model. The record is from RNAcentral.